Molecule: transfer RNA, 67 nt
Filed under: Quadrula quadrula (mapleleaf mussel)
Lineage: Eukaryota; Metazoa; Mollusca; Bivalvia; Unionida; Unionidae
Description: tRNA-Ala
Source: RNAcentral
AGUUACGUACUUUAUUUUAAAAGACUUAGCUUGCACCUAAAAAUAGGGUAAUUCACCCCGCAACUAC